Molecule: ribosomal RNA, 510 nt
Filed under: uncultured bacterium
Lineage: Bacteria
Description: bacterial SSU rRNA
Rfam family: Bacterial small subunit ribosomal RNA
Source: RNAcentral
GACGAACGCUGGCGGCGUGCCUAACACAUGCAAGUCGAGCGGGGUUGAAGCGAGGGGUAACUCGAGUUUCUACCUAGCGGCGGACGGGUGAGUAACGCGUGGGCAACCUGCCUCAAGGACUGGGAUAACAGCUCGAAAGGGCUGCUAAUACCGGAUAUGCCUGUGGCCUCGCAUGGGGCUAUGAGCAAAGGGGAAACCCGCCUUGAGAUGGGCCCGCGUCCCAUCAGCUAGUUGGUGAGGUGAAGGCUCACCAAGGCGACGACGGGUAGCCGGCCUGAGAGGGUGACCGGCCACACUGGGACUGAGACACGGCCCAGACUCCUACGGGGGGCAGCAGUGGGGAAUCUUGCACAAUGGGCGAAAGCCUGAUGCAGCGACGCCGCGUGAGCGAAGAAGGCCUCGGUGUAAGACUCUGUCUGAGGGACGGAAGGAAGGUAGACGGUACCGUCCGGACGGAAGCCGACGGCGUAACUACGUAGUCCACGCACGCCGCGGUAACGACGACGAGUA